This 591-nucleotide ribosomal RNA is filed under the name Sporobolomyces sp. YM25347. RNAcentral's name for it is "eukaryotic LSU rRNA". It matches the Rfam family "Eukaryotic large subunit ribosomal RNA", at positions 66 to 668 of the family's 3401-position model. The record is from RNAcentral. Lineage: Eukaryota; Fungi; Basidiomycota; Microbotryomycetes; Sporidiobolales; Sporidiobolaceae.
CAGGGGGGAAUUCCCCGUAGUAGCGGCGAGCGAAGCGGGAAAAGCUCAAAUUUGUAAUCUGGCGUCUACGACGUCCGAGUUGUAAUCUCGAGAAGUGUUUUCCGUGAUAGACCGCAUACAAGUCUCUUGGAACAGAGCGUCAUAGUGGUGAGAACCCAGUACACGAUGCGGAUGCCUAUUACUUUGUGAUACACUUUCGAAGAGUCGAGUUGUUUGGGAAUGCAGCUCAAAUUGGGUGGUAAAUUCCAUCUAAAGCUAAAUAUUGGCGAGAGACCGAUAGCGAACAAGUACCGUGAGGGAAAGAUGAAAAGCACUUUGGAAAGAGAGUUAACAGUACGUGAAAUUGUUGGAAGGGAAACACAUGCAGCCAGACUUGCUAUUCGGGGCAACUCGAUUGGCAGGCCCGCAUCAGUUUUUCGGGGCGGAAAAUCAUAGAGAGAAGGUAGCAAUUUCGGUUGUGUUAUAGCUCUUUAUUGGAUUCGCCCUGGGGGACUGAGGAACGCAGCGUGCUUUUAGCAUAAGCUUCGGCUUAUCCACGCUUAGGAUGCGGGUGUAAUGGCUGUAUAUGACCCGUCUUGAAACCACGGACCA